Molecule: long non-coding RNA, 365 nt
Filed under: Gossypium barbadense (sea-island cotton)
Lineage: Eukaryota; Viridiplantae; Streptophyta; Magnoliopsida; Malvales; Malvaceae
Description: long non-coding RNA (GBAR_LNC020614)
Source: RNAcentral
CCUGGUGGUGGAAGUGGUGAACACUGAAGGCUAAGUAACAAGUUAGCAAAAUGGGACCUGGAGGGCCGGGAGGAGGGCCGGGAGGACCUGGUGGACCGGGAGGAUGGGGAGGAGGACCUGGUGGUUGGGGUCCUGGCCCCGGAGGACCUGGCGGAUUUGGGCCUGGAGGUCCUGGUUGGGGUCCGGGACCUGGAGGUCCCUGGGGCCCUGGAUUUGGAGGUCCUGGUUUUUGGCCUGGUGGGUUCUUUGGCGGCUUUGCAGAUGGUUUGUGCAAUAUGAUAUCUUCCUGGUAAGCAAUCAAAUCUUUACUCAAUUCCGGUAUAGUUAAAUGCGGUUUGAUUGAGGUUAAAUUUGAUUGGGAUUGC